AGAGAUGGACUUGGUGCCUUCGGGAACUCUGACACAGGUGCUGCAUGGCUGUCGUCAGCUCGUGUCGUGAGAUGUUGGGUUAAGUCCCGUAACGAGCGCAACCCUUGUCCUUAGUUACCAGCACGUUAUGGUGGGCACUCUAAGGAGACGUGCCGGUGACAAACCGGAGGGAAGGUGGGGAUGACGUCAAGUCAUCCAUGGCCCUUACGGCCUGGGCUACACACGUGCUACAAUGGUCGGUACAAAGGGUUGCCAAGCCGCGAGGUGGAGCUAAUCCCAUAAAACCGAUCGUAGUCCGGAUCGCAGUCGUGCAACUCGACUCGCGUGAAGUCGGAAUCGCUAGUAAUCGUGAAUCAGAAUGUCACGGUGAAUACGUUCCCGGGCCUU
Molecule: ribosomal RNA, 387 nt
Filed under: uncultured Pseudomonas sp.
Lineage: Bacteria; Pseudomonadati; Pseudomonadota; Gammaproteobacteria; Pseudomonadales; Pseudomonadaceae
Description: bacterial SSU rRNA
Rfam family: Bacterial small subunit ribosomal RNA
Source: RNAcentral